RNAcentral lists this long non-coding RNA (234 nucleotides) under Homo sapiens (human). RNAcentral's name for it is "HSALNT0041050". Lineage: Eukaryota; Metazoa; Chordata; Mammalia; Primates; Hominidae. The record is from RNAcentral.
GCUUGACUAACUGUGGAAUGUAUUGUAGUGAACAGCCCAAGCUGCCAGAAAGAACAGAGAAGACAGAAGAAAAAGCAAUGGAAACUGGAACAUCUGUCCCCUUCAUGCUGCAAAAGCUAGUAACCAAGAUCUCACUGUUUCCUUCUCUAUCUGAAGGACAAACAGCAUAAAGCAGGGAUUGGAUUGAUAUGGGACACUACAGAAGAUGUUUGCUUAUAAUUAUUUCUAGCACUU